CAAUAUAAUUACUGAUUUAUCAUCUCUUGCAAAAAAAAAUAUUAAUUUUUUUUAUUCAAGAAGAUGAAUAUUGCAAUUCUUUUGGAUUCAUCCAGGUGUCUGAUCAUUCAAAAAUACAAUAAGAAUGAUAUAAAAAGUGUCAAAAUUAUUGUUGAAAAUAUUUCAUGCUUGAGGUUGAUAUGCAAUUAUGGCUGAAUUAGAGAUCGAGGAAUUCCAUAUAAAUAACAUAAAUCCCAAGAUAUGCAUAACCUAAUGGGUGUAGAUUUUUGUGUUAAUGGAGAAAUUCCUCCAUUCUGUUACUACUGCUAUCCAUAGCAAAGAAGAAUGAAAAAAAGAAUCUUUCUGUUCGUUCCUCUUUUUUAAUUUUUUUUUUUGAUGUAUGAAUUUUUUUAUGUGUAUAACUUCUUUUUGUUGUAGUUUCUUCUUUAUUAAUGAUUGCCCACUCUCUUUAUUAUUAUUGUUACUUGUAUUUUGAAGGAAGAAAAAAUGAUGUUCUAUUAUUUAUAAUGGAGGAGGAAAAAAUGUGUUAAACCUUAA
Molecule: long non-coding RNA, 537 nt
Filed under: Capsicum annuum
Lineage: Eukaryota; Viridiplantae; Streptophyta; Magnoliopsida; Solanales; Solanaceae
Description: long non-coding RNA (CANN_LNC003076)
Source: RNAcentral